Long non-coding RNA from Dermacentor albipictus, 466 nucleotides. RefSeq lists it as uncharacterized. The record is from RefSeq and is a predicted model, not a curated record. Lineage: Eukaryota; Metazoa; Arthropoda; Arachnida; Ixodida; Ixodidae.
UGCAUCGAGCGACCGUGGUACUUCUUCGAAGUUGCGGCUUUGGACGGUGUUUUGCAUUUACGACUCGAUUAGAAGCGGCGUUCUCGGGAAACAGUGAGGUGAUUUUGCUGUCAUGCUUCGACGACACGAUGGCCCUAUCCGCUUUCCAAACUAAACCGCAUUCCGCAUUUUUAUUUCACUUCGUCCUCGUGCCCACUAAAGCGGCUGCCAUUGAACAUGAUUCACCAAUUUCGGCGACGGAUAGUGGCCCACAACAAAGCCUCAAGCAAACACGUCUCGCGGUACGCUCUGUGUACUUCGUAGACAAAUGCAAAUGGUGCCCGCAAGCGAAGAGACCCCAACUGAGGCAUGCUACCUAGCGUCGUCUUUCCUUCUUCCUAUUUCCCAUGUGGGUUCUACACGUUUUCAACAACCCCCGACACGAUGAGCAAGAGAGCAGCAGUGGCGAUAAAGUCGAAGCGAGAAG